This 392-nucleotide ribosomal RNA is filed under the name uncultured Gammaproteobacteria bacterium. Its description in RNAcentral is "bacterial SSU rRNA". It matches the Rfam family "Bacterial small subunit ribosomal RNA", at positions 370 to 779 of the family's 1533-position model. Lineage: Bacteria; Pseudomonadati; Pseudomonadota; Gammaproteobacteria. The record is from RNAcentral.
AAUGGGGGAAACCCUGAUCCAGCCAUGCCGCGUGAGUAAAGAAGGCCUUAGGGUUGUAAAACUCUUUCACCUGCGAAGAUGAUGACGGUAGCAGGAGAAGAAGCCCCGGCUAACUCCGUGCCAGCAGCCGCGGUAAUACGGAGGGGGCAAGCGUCGUUCGGAAUUACUGGGCGUAAAGGGCGCGUAGGCGGCUAUAACAGUCAGGCGUGAAAGCCCCGGGCUUAACCUGGGAACUGCGUUUGAUACUGUAUAGCUAGAGAUUGGAAGAGGAGAGUGGAAUUCCAAGUGUAGAGGUGAAAUUCGUAGAUAUUUGGAAGAACACCAGUGGCGAAGGCGGCUCUCUGGUCCACAUCUGACGCUGAGGCGCGAAAGCGUGGGGAGCAAACAGGAUU